UAAGCGGAGGAAANGAAACUAACAAGGAUUCCCCUAGUAACUGCGAGUGAAGCGGGAAAAGCUCAAAUUUAAAAUCUGGCGGUCUUUGGCCGUCCGAGUUGUAAUUUAGAGAAGCGUCUUCCGCGCCGGACCGUGCACAAGUCUCCUGGAAUGGAGCGUCAUAGAGGGUGAGAAUCCCGUCUUUGGCACGGAUGCCCGGUGCUUCUGUGAUGCGCUCUCGAAGAGUCGAGUUGUUUGGGAAUGCAGCUCAAAAUGGGUGGUGAACUCCAUCUAAAGCUAAAUAUUGGCGAGAGACCGAUAGCGAACAAGUACCGUGAGGGAAAGAUGAAAAGCACUUUGGAAAGAGAGUGAAACAGUACGUGAAAUUGUUGAAAGGGAAACGCUUGAAGUCAGUCGCGUCGACCGAGACUCAGCCUUGCCUCGGCUUGGUGUACUUCUCGGCCCGACGGGUCAGCGUCAAUUUUGCUCCUCGGAUAAUGGCAAGGGAAAGGUGGCACCUUUACGGGUGUGUUAUAGUCUCCUGUCGCAUGCGAGGGGUGGGAUUGAGGAACUCAGCGCGCACCUUGGUGUCGGGGCUUCUGCCCACGUCACGCGCUUAGGAUGCUGGCGUAAUGGCUUUAAACGACC
Molecule: ribosomal RNA, 627 nt
Filed under: uncultured Russulaceae
Lineage: Eukaryota; Fungi; Basidiomycota; Agaricomycetes; Russulales; Russulaceae
Description: LSU rRNA
Rfam family: Eukaryotic large subunit ribosomal RNA
Source: RNAcentral